CAGAGGGUGCGAGCGUUGUCCGGAAUCACUGGGCGUAAAGGGCGCGUAGGUGGCUUUGUAAGUCGGGGGUGAAAUGCUGCGGCUCAACCGCAGCGCUGCCUCCGAGACUGCAAGGCUCGAGCACGGUAGAGGCCGAUGGAAUUCCCGGUGUAGCGGUGGAAUGCGUAGAGAUCGGGAAGAACACCAAUGGCGAAGGCAGUCGGCUGGGCCGUUGCUGACACUGAGGCGCGACAGCGUGGGGAGCAAACAGGAUUAGAUACCCUGGUAGUCCACGCCGUAAACGAUGGGCACUAGGCGUCGGGGGGAGCGACCCUCCCGGUGCCGUCGCCAACGCAGUAAGUGCCCCGCCUGGGGAGUACGGCCGCAAGGUUG
This 372-nucleotide ribosomal RNA is filed under the name uncultured organism. RNAcentral describes it as "bacterial SSU rRNA". It matches the Rfam family "Bacterial small subunit ribosomal RNA", at positions 526 to 896 of the family's 1533-position model. The record is from RNAcentral.